GAGAGCAGUGAUUGGUCAGACCAUAGGCAAUUUAGAAGACAGCGCGCUAGCGUAUCUGUUCUAUGUAUAUCUAUGGUCGGUACAUCUGGUAGCAUCUCUGGCUGCUGUUGACCUUGUUUUUGGAGUAAAACACGGUGGAAGCUGAAUUAGUAAGGAUGACUCCUGCUCCUGUCAUCUCUAAGCUCCUCACACAUCUUUACCUGCACAUGAGGAAAAUCACUCCUGUAGAAUGCAGAUGUUCAGAGGGAGAUGAUGCCACAUCUGGUCCAGCUGAUGGAAGGUCUUGAAGUUCUCUGACUGGCCUCGACUGAAGAUGGUCGUCUCACUGGAUUUAAGGUUCAGAUGCUCAGUAACAAACUCCACCAAUGUGCCAACAGGGAAGCUUUAGGUUUAUUAAAUGUUGCUAUGAAGGUUUCGCUGUUUUUCUUUGUGAAUGCAAUGUGCUCCAACUGAAACUUGAAUUAGAACUUAGAAGUAAAUCCUUCCAUCUGAAAGGAUUUAGUUGCAUUAAUAACCUCAUAACAUUCUAAUUUUUAUUACAGUUUUGGCUGAAAAUAGAAUCUCUGUAUUGAUUCAGGUAAAAACUGAACUUCACAGCAUGUUGAAGCAAAACAACCAGAUGAAAACUGUGAUGGUGUUGGAUUGUCAGACCGUAAUGUUGCAGCUCAAAGCAGCUUUUCUAUCUCAGUUCAUUCUGACAUUCAGCUAUGAAUCAACACAGCAGAUGGUGAUCCAUGCUGUGGAAGUCUCACAUCUCCUGAUUUAAUGGAGCUGCUUUGCACUUUUUACACUGUUUAUUCACCAACACUUUAUUUAAUAAAAGUCCCAUUUAGUUUUUAUGAGGAAUGUGAUGUUUUAAUUUCUCUGUGAAUAACUGCAGUCUAAUGCAACAGCUGGAGUUGUAACAUCUGUCCUGAUAUUGAUCAUGAAGUAUUGAUCAGAAUACUGAUGGUCAGCAGUCAUCCCUGAAGUUUUACAUUAAAAUCUUUACUUGUGUUGUGAACUUUGGUAAGAAGCAGAAACGUUAGCGUUGCCAUGGAUACAUGAGUGUUAAAUUCAGUCCAUGUUUCCAUUUUGGGAAAUGCAGUCCAGUUCCAGAAUGUGGAGGAAUUUAGUCUCACAAUCACAGACAACAAAUAUUAUCUGAAAGCCGGGUUAUUGUUGUUUAUCAGCACAAUACAAAAAGAUCAAUGUUAGAAAUAUUCCAGUUAAGACUCUAGAAUACCAUGAUUUAUGUAAAUUUACCUAAAUAAUAUGAAUGUUCAGGUUAAAAUUGUACAGUGAUAUUUAUUAUGUAAGUUUAGCUGAUUAAAGUUUAUGACUCUGCACUAAAAUAUUAUUUAAAUUGACAUCAUUAUUAUAAUAUUUAGGGUCAGACCCUACAGUAUUGAGAUUAAGAAAUCAAAUAUUCUAUAAAAUGUAAAUACACUGAACUCAUUUGGAUAUAUUUAAGUGAGACUCUACAAUAUUAUUUGACACAAAUCUAUCUAAAUCAAAAUUUUAAUAAUUUUCACACCAAACAUUUACUGGACUGAUUUAAACAUUAAAAUCACUCCUUUCUAAUCCUCUGCUGUACGUUCAAACCUGAGGCCUUAAACAGAAACACACAAGUAUCUGUUUGAAGGAACUUCUGCAGAGUCCUGGUUCCAGAACAUGAUGAUAGAAUUAUAGACAAACUUUAACAAAAGCUGCCUAAGAGUUUACAGGUUUUUAUGUUGGAUUUCUUCAGUAAUUUAAUGAGCGUUAUCAGCAAUAAUCAAGUGUUCAUUUGAUGAACUUCAUUUCCUAAAACAUCCAGAAUUGGAGCUCAUAUCUUUGACAGCUGUAAAGUUUCUGCUCCUUCAAAGUUCACAACACAAUGAAUUAAUUCCUAAAACACUCUCAAUGCUGGAGAACGUUUGUGAUGCUGAAGCAGUGAGCAGUUUUUCUGUUUCUUCUCUGGAGAUGCACAAUGAGGGACGUCUGCAGUGACUGAGAAAGAGUCUCACCACAUCCUGACAUGAGGAAAACGACUUUAUUGAAGACUACAAUGAGAAAAACUAUCAGACAGCAGAGGGCUGCAUUCAAGAGAAGAAGACCAUCAAACAUCCACGUCAGCUGAUAGAGGUCCAAGAGUCUCACCAAACAAACAACCUACAGAGUGAAGACCUCAAAUCUGAUUGGACGGCCUCCUAUUCAGCCACGUGUGAACAAAUGCCUCUAAGUUGAUUUGUUUUCUAAAAUAAAUCUAGUUUGAGUUCUAAUCUAUGUCUGUGUGUUUGCUUCUUUACACCGCUGUUAACAGUUUAGGCUGUUAGAUUGUUCCAGAUAAGACAAGAUCCUGCAGAGCCGUUCUACCACGAGCCUGACAGGAAGAACUCCAACAGCUACUGAAUGUUCCUGUGGUUCCCUCAAGGCUACAGGAGGAGUCCUACGAGGACGAGCCGGUCCACCUGAUGGUGGCCAGUUGCUGUGGUUCAAAGCCAACACCGACUACGUGGACUUCUACUGGACCACACGGAGGCCUUCAAACUGGACCACCAAGUUCACUGACUCCCCGACUCGUGGGUCUGAGGACGCCGCCGAGCCUCGGCCCAGCCGGCCUCCUGUCUGUGGGUGUUUGAGUGCUGAGAGGUUUGUGGAUGCAUGUGAACAUGUCUGUGUUGAAACAGCAGCUUUGGACUCAGUAACGCUGGGAAAAACCAAGAGCUCCUUUAUUUGUGACUUCCACUAAAAAACUGAUGAAAAUAAGUUUGCCAGGGUUCUGACUGAUAACAGAUUAUUAAAUAAUGAAAAUAAUCGUUUAAAUAUUUCUUUAAACAAUCCUUUUAGGUCUACAUUUCCUUUACACUGACUUCUUGGUAUAUGUACAACUAUUUUGGAUGGACUAUACCAUUAAGUCCAAUGUUCAAGGGUUCUUCUGGGAAUAUACCAUUAAACCAACCUUUUAGGUAAAUGUUCCAGGAUGUUGGGUAGAAUAUACCAUCAGAUCAACCUUUUAGGUCUACAUUGGAAGAUUUUAGAGUAGAAUAUUACUCCAAACCAUCCUUUAGGUCUACAUUUAAGGUGGAAUACUCCUUUACACCAAGAUUUUUUGGUCUCGAUUGAAGGAUUUUAGGUGGAAUAUUCCUUUGAAUGAACUUUUUAAGUUUAUGUUCAAGGAUGUUGGGUGGAAUAUACCAUCAGACCAACCUCCAAGGUCUACAGUAGUGAAUUUUAGCUGGAAUAUACCAUUAAACUCACCUUUUAAGUCUACAUUGGAGGAUUUUAGGUGGAAUUUUCUUCCAAACCAUCUUUUAGUCUACAUUUAAGGAUGUUUAGGAUGGUAUAUUCUUCCGAACCAACUUCUCAGGUCUUCAUUUCAGGUGGAAUAUUCCUCCAUACUAACUUUUUUGGUCUACAUUGAAAGAUUUUUUCUAAACCACCCUUUCGGGUCUAUAUUUGGGGUUUUAGGUGGAAUAUUCCUUUUAACCAGCCCCUCAGGUCUCUUUGAGGAUUUUGGAUGGAAUACUCAGUUAAAUCAACAUUUUAGGUGCAUGUCCAAGGAUUUUUGGUGGAAUGUUCCUUUAAGGUGGAUGUUUGAGGACCUUGUAGGUGGAAUACUUCCUGAAACUAACCUUUUAGGUCAACAUUCAAAGAUUUAAGGUGGAAUAUUCCUUUAAACCAACCUAAAUUUCAUGUUUUGAUCAUUAUCAAGUGAGAAACCUCAAUCCAGACUCCUCAUAAUGACGUUUGAGAUUUAUGCUGCUGUUAUUUGUUUAGUCCAGACUAAAUGACAGAAAUCCACAACUGUAAUUUUAUUUCAGGACUCGGUUAUUAAAUGUCAAAACAAUCCAUGUGACUCUAAAAACUCAACAGCUGAACUCUCCACAAGGAUCCAAAAUAAGUUGGACUUCUACAUGAGAGCUUUAAUUAUUCUUCAUCUACUACCUGAAAAGUUUGGUCAAUAAAAAAGAC
This is a long non-coding RNA of Amphiprion ocellaris (clown anemonefish), 3936 nucleotides long. The record is from Ensembl. NCBI's taxonomy places the organism in Eukaryota, Metazoa, Chordata, Actinopteri, Pomacentridae.